This 468-nucleotide ribosomal RNA is filed under the name Serratia sp. (in: enterobacteria). RNAcentral's name for it is "bacterial SSU rRNA". It matches the Rfam family "Bacterial small subunit ribosomal RNA", at positions 217 to 697 of the family's 1533-position model. Lineage: Bacteria; Pseudomonadati; Pseudomonadota; Gammaproteobacteria; Enterobacterales; Yersiniaceae. The record is from RNAcentral.
GCCAUCAGAUGUGCCCAGAUGGGAUUAGCUAGUAGGUGGGGUAAUGGCUCACCUAGGCGACGAUCCCUAGCUGGUCUGAGAGGAUGACCAGCCACACUGGAACUGAGACACGGUCCAGACUCCUACGGGAGGCAGCAGUGGGGAAUAUUGCACAAUGGGCGCAAGCCUGAUGCAGCCAUGCCGCGUGUGUGAAGAAGGCCUUCGGGUUGUAAAGCACUUUCAGCGAGGAGGAAGGUGGUGAAUUGACGUUACUCGCAGAAGAAGCACCGGCUAACUCCGUGCCAGCAGCCGCGGUAAUACGGAGGGUGCAAGCGUUAAUCGGAAUUACUGGGCGUAAAGCGCACGCAGGCGGUUUGUUAAGUCAGAUGUGAAAUCCCCGGGCUCAACCUGGGAACUGCAUUUGAAACUGGCAAGCUAGAGUCUCGUAGAGGGGGGUAGAAUUCAUGUAGCGGUGAAAUGCGUAGAGAU